UACGGAGGAUGCGAGCGUUAUCCGGAUUUAUUGGGUUUAAAGGGUACGUAGGUGGCCAGUUAAGUCAGUGGUGAAAACCUGUCGCUCAACGAUAGGCGUGCCAUUGAUACUGAUUGGCUUGAGUACAGAUGAGGUAAGCGGAAUGUGUAGUGUAGCGGUGAAAUGCAUAGAUAUUACACAGAACUCCGAUUGCGAAGGCAGCUUACUAAACUGACACUGACGCUGAGGUACGAAAGCGUGGGUAG
Molecule: ribosomal RNA, 245 nt
Filed under: uncultured Prolixibacteraceae bacterium
Lineage: Bacteria; Pseudomonadati; Bacteroidota; Bacteroidia; Marinilabiliales; Prolixibacteraceae
Description: partial 16S ribosomal RNA
Rfam family: Bacterial small subunit ribosomal RNA
Source: RNAcentral